AUGCUCCGUGAGAAGCAAGAGCAGCAAGCUAAAAGACAGGUAGGAGAGGCGAGUGAUCAAAUUGAAAAGUUCAAAUGGAGUGAAAUCUGGAAGUGUUGCUGCCCGCCAAAAAUGAAACAUUUUCUAUGGCGGCUAGCUCACAACAGUUUGCCUCAUCUACUGAAUAUUGCCAGGAAAGGGAUGGAACCUGAUACGAGAUGCCCAGUUUGUUUGCGGCUUGAUGAGGAUGGUGCUCAUACAUUUCUGAGAUGCAAGAAUGUGAAACAGGUGUGGAGAGAAAUGAAUCUAGAAAGGACACGCCAAGAACUGCUACUGUGUUGUGACUCAAAAGAGGUGGUGACUAAGAUAUUGGCCCUCCCGGACAAACAGAAAAGUGAUUGCAUCGCAAUGAUCUGGGUGUGGUGGGACACACGAAAUAAGAGAAAUGCAGGAGAGCCAAUGCGAAAUACGAUCUCAGUUAUGAAGAGAAUUAGCGCACAGUCGCGAGACUGCACUUUUCUGAAGGAAAAGAAUCUGAACCGAACGGUGAUGGAGAACACAUGGGCUGCCCCUGGGCAUGAAGCUAUCAAAAUUAAUGUUGACGGCAGCAUGCAAUCAGCCACAGCGACGGGAUGGCGGGGCUUUAGAGCAUCUACAACGGCCCCUCAAACCGUCUCAAACAUCCUGGCAAGCCAUCCGGUCAUGAUUGUUUGA
This 693-nucleotide ribosomal RNA is filed under the name Triticum aestivum (bread wheat). RNAcentral describes it as "partial small subunit ribosomal RNA". The record is from RNAcentral. Lineage: Eukaryota; Viridiplantae; Streptophyta; Magnoliopsida; Poales; Poaceae.